GCUAGAAAAAGACACAACAUACAUAAAUAUUAAAUUGUUAAUAAUUAAAAAGGUAAUUUAUGUUGGAUGAUAUGAAGCAAUCUGUAUUUAAUAUUAUAUUAUUUAGUCAAAAUAAAAGUAAUUCAUUUAAUCUCUAUUAAUCUCAAACAAUAAUGAGAACUGUCGCAGAUUAAUUUUUCUGAUUGAUUCAUUAAUGAAUAAAUCGACUGUUGGAGCUCUGCUGACGGGAGAUAUUAAAGGAAAUGAGUCAAACUUCAUAAUCCCCUAAAAUCUUCCAUCUGCUUCCAGUCGUCAUCUC
Molecule: long non-coding RNA, 298 nt
Organism: Morone saxatilis (striped sea-bass)
Lineage: Eukaryota; Metazoa; Chordata; Actinopteri; Moronidae
Exons: 2
Source: RefSeq, a predicted model, not a curated record